AGAUGACAUGUUCGGCCUGUCGUCUGGACUUAGUUGCACACACAGUAGUCCCACGUGAAUUGUUCUUAGCACUUCAGAUUAAUGCCAAUUAACCAAAUCUCAAGGUGAGAAAGAGAAACCCAAGACAGUGAAAAUCUAUUACUGUGUAACAAAGUAUAACAUGCCUGCAAUGACCGAGAGCUUACAUCUUGAUCACGGAUAGAGGUGAUAUUGUUAGCAUCUGAGAUUUUCCAACUGUCAUAUUAAAUACCCCUUUAACUUUUCUAAUUACUUUUUAAGCAUGGUUAAAAACUACUUUUGUUUAACAGCUAGUUGUGGGGUAAUCAUGCCUACUUUUAGUUAGUCAUAAUUUUCUUUUUGUUUUGUCCUAUCAAGGGCUUGUUAAUUUUUGUGAAAGUUCAAGUGGGUGAAAAAUUGAAAUACAUCAGAUCAGAUAUGCUUCUUUCUUUAUCUUCAUAUACGUUUAUAUUUGCUGGUUCUAUUUUACAGCAUUUUCUCAUAGAGUCUAAUACCUAUUUUAUGUUCUGUUCUGUUUUCUAACAGAUACUAAUUUGCGGAUAAAACAGCCUAAGUUUACAGUAAAUAUAAUAUAUAGAAGAACUACUUAA
This is a long non-coding RNA of Glycine soja, 608 nucleotides long. RefSeq lists it as uncharacterized. The transcript is spliced from 2 exons. The record is from RefSeq and is a predicted model, not a curated record. NCBI's taxonomy places the organism in Eukaryota, Viridiplantae, Streptophyta, Magnoliopsida, Fabales, Fabaceae.